Molecule: small nuclear RNA, 153 nt
Filed under: Suricata suricatta (meerkat)
Lineage: Eukaryota; Metazoa; Chordata; Mammalia; Carnivora; Herpestidae
Description: U2 spliceosomal RNA (ENSSSUG00005014706.1)
Rfam family: U2 spliceosomal RNA
About the family: U2 is a small nuclear RNA (snRNA) component of the spliceosome (involved in pre-mRNA splicing). Complementary binding between U2 snRNA (in an area lying towards the 5' end but 3' to hairpin I) and the branchpoint sequence (BPS) of the intron results the bulging out of an unpaired adenosine, on the BPS, which initiates a nucleophilic attack at the intronic 5' splice site, thus starting the first of two transesterification reactions that mediate splicing.
Source: Rfam by way of RNAcentral
ACCACUUCUUGGCCUUUUGGCUAAGAUCAAGUGCAACAGUAUUUCUGAAGACUGUAUACUCAAAGAACUUGAAUUUUUAGUUGGCAUCUUUCACCUAUACUACAAUAUGUUUUCUUCUGUUUUUCCAUUACUUAGAAGCAAAGAGAACUUUCU